GUCACACACAGCAAAGCAUGGUUCUUGCCAACAGGGUCUGUAGAGUCAUCAGAUUUCCUGUGCGAUGGCCCCAUACAUG
This is a non-coding RNA of Sorex fumeus (smoky shrew), 79 nucleotides long. Lineage: Eukaryota; Metazoa; Chordata; Mammalia; Eulipotyphla; Soricidae. The record is from RefSeq and is a predicted model, not a curated record.